GGAGGAGUGGCCGAGUGGUCGAAGGCGCUCGCCUGCUAAGCGAGUGCACGGGCUAAAACCCGUGCCGCGGGUUCGAAUCCCGCCUCCUCCG
Molecule: transfer RNA, 91 nt
Filed under: Thermodesulfobacterium sp.
Lineage: Bacteria; Pseudomonadati; Thermodesulfobacteriota; Thermodesulfobacteria; Thermodesulfobacteriales; Thermodesulfobacteriaceae
Also listed under: 2 other names
Description: tRNA-Ser
Rfam family: tRNA
About the family: Transfer RNA (tRNA) molecules are approximately 80 nucleotides in length.
Source: RNAcentral